CCUACGGGAGGCAGCAGUGGGGAAUAUUGCACAAUGGGCGAAAGCCUGAUGCAGCAACGCCGCGUGAGCGAUGAAGGCCUUCGGGUCGUAAAGCUCUGUCCUCAAGGAAGAUAAUGACGGUACUUGAGGAGGAAGCCCCGGCUAACUACGUGCCAGCAGCCGCGGUAAUACGUAGGGGGCUAGCGUUAUCCGGAAUUACUGGGCGUAAAGGGGGCGUAGGUGGUUUCUUAAGUCAGGGGUGAAAGGCUACAGCUCCACCGUAGUAAGCCUUUGAAACUGGGGAACGUGAGUGCAGGAGAGGAGAGUGGAAUUCCUAGUGUAGCGGUGAAAUGCGUAGAUAUUAGGAGGAACACCAGUUGCGAAGGCGGCUCUCUGGACUGUAACUGACACUGAGGCACGAAAGCGUGGGGAGCAAACAGGAUUAGAUACCCCGGUAGUC
This 439-nucleotide ribosomal RNA is filed under the name uncultured bacterium. Its description in RNAcentral is "partial 16S ribosomal RNA". It matches the Rfam family "Bacterial small subunit ribosomal RNA", at positions 338 to 795 of the family's 1533-position model. The record is from RNAcentral.